UACGGGGGGGGCAAGCGUUGUUCGGAAUUACUGGGCGUAAAGGGUUCGUAGGUGGCCAACUAAGUCAGACGUGAAAUCCCUCAGCUCAACUGGGGAACUGCGUCUGAUACUGGUUGGCUUGAGUGCAGGAGAGGAACGCGGAAUUCCAGGUGUAGCGGUGAAAUGCGUAGAUAUCUGGAGGAACACCGGUGGCGAAGGCGGCAUUCUGGACCGAAACUGACACUGAGGCGCGAAAGCCAGGGGAGCAAACGGG
This 253-nucleotide ribosomal RNA is filed under the name uncultured bacterium. RNAcentral's name for it is "partial 16S ribosomal RNA". It matches the Rfam family "Bacterial small subunit ribosomal RNA", at positions 524 to 776 of the family's 1533-position model. The record is from RNAcentral.